CGUAGGGUGCAAGCGUUAAUCGGAAUUACUGGGCGUAAAGCGUGCGCAGGCGGUUAUGCAAGACAGAUGUGAAAUCCCCGGGCUCAACCUGGGAACUGCAUUUGUGACUGCAUAGCUAGAGUACGGUAGAGGGGGAUGGAAUUCCGCGUGUAGCAGUGAAAUGCGUAGAUAUGCGGAGGAACACCGAUGGCGAAGGCAAUCCCCUGGACCUGUACUGACGCUCAUGCACGAAAGCGUGGGGAGCAAACAGGAUUAGAUACCCUGGUAGUCCACGCCCUAAACGAUGUCAACUGGUUGUUGGGAGGUUUCUUCUCAGUAACGUAGCUAACGCGUGAAGUUGACCGCCUAGGGGAGUACGGCCGCAAGGUUGA
RNAcentral lists this ribosomal RNA (371 nucleotides) under uncultured organism. RNAcentral's name for it is "bacterial SSU rRNA". It matches the Rfam family "Bacterial small subunit ribosomal RNA", at positions 526 to 897 of the family's 1533-position model. The record is from RNAcentral.